ACGGGAGGCAGCAGUGGGGAAUAUUGCACAAUGGGGGAAACCCUGAUGCAGCGACGCCGCGUGAGUGAAGAAGUAUUUCGGUAUGUAAAGCUCUAUCAGCAGGGAAGAUAAUGACGGUACCUGACUAAGAAGCCCCGGCUAACUACGUGCCAGCAGCCGCGGUAGUACGUAGGGGGCAAGCGUUAUCCGGAUUUACUGGGUGUAAAGGGAGCGUAGACGGUUUGGCAAGUCUGAAGUGAAAGCCCGGGGCUCAACCCCGGUAUUGCUUUGGAAACUGUUGAACUAGAGUGCCGGAGGGGUAAGCGGAAUUCCUAGUGUAGCGGUGAAAUGCGUAGAUAUUAGGAGGAACACCAGUGGCGAAGGCGGCUUACUGGACGGUAACUGACGUUGAGGCUCGAAAGCGUGGGGAGCAAACAGGAUUAGAUACCCUGGUA
This 434-nucleotide ribosomal RNA is filed under the name uncultured Clostridium sp. Its description in RNAcentral is "partial 16S ribosomal RNA". It matches the Rfam family "Bacterial small subunit ribosomal RNA", at positions 341 to 792 of the family's 1533-position model. Lineage: Bacteria; Bacillati; Bacillota; Clostridia; Eubacteriales; Clostridiaceae. The record is from RNAcentral.